This 73-nucleotide transfer RNA is filed under the name Candidatus Methanoplasma sp. RNAcentral describes it as "tRNA-Arg". It matches the Rfam family "tRNA". From Rfam's summary of the family: Transfer RNA (tRNA) molecules are approximately 80 nucleotides in length. Their secondary structure includes four short double-helical elements and three loops (D, anti-codon, and T loops). Lineage: Archaea; Methanobacteriati; Thermoplasmatota; Thermoplasmata; Methanomassiliicoccales; Methanomassiliicoccaceae. The record is from RNAcentral.
GGACCUGUGGGGUAGAGGAUUAUCCUUUCGGCCUUCGGAGCCGAUCACCCGGGUUCGAAUCCCGGCAGGUCCA